Molecule: long non-coding RNA, 261 nt
Filed under: Rosa chinensis
Lineage: Eukaryota; Viridiplantae; Streptophyta; Magnoliopsida; Rosales; Rosaceae
Description: sRNA RchiOBHm_Chr6g0307651
Source: RNAcentral
GAUGAUCUGGGGACUUUCUCAUAAAACUUGACAUCAUCAUCAUCAGGAGAGUCGAACGAGACAGGUCUGACGACGGUGGGCGUGGGCUCGGAUCUGGUCAGCGACCGGCGAAGCGACUAGGGAGUCGAAUGAAGUGUUGAGCCCAAUGGGCUCGGAGUUUUGUGGUGGUUCAGAGUCGGAGUUGGGGUGGGGUGGUUGUUAUCGAAAUUGGGGCAGGGGUUGUCGGAAUUGGGGCGGUGGUUGUCGGCGUCGGAGAGGUCG